GACGAACGCUGGCGGCGUGCUUAACACAUGCAAGUCGAGCGGUAAGGCCCUUUCGGGGGUACACGAGCGGCGAACGGGUGAGUAACACGUGGGUGACCUGCCCUUAGCUCUGGGAUAAGCCUGGGAAACUGGGUCUAAUACCGGAUACGACUCCGCGGUGCAUGCUGUGGGGUGGAAAGCCUUGUGCGGCUGGAGAUGGGCCCGCGGCCUAUCAGCUUGUUGGUGGGGUGAUGGCCUACCAAGGCGACGACGGGUAGCCGGCCUGAGAGGGCGACCGGCCACACUGGGACUGAGACACGGCCCAGACUCCUACGGGAGGCAGCAGUGGGGAAUCUUGCGCAAUGGGCGAAAGCCUGACGCAGCGACGCCGCGUGAGGGAUGACGGCCU
This 388-nucleotide ribosomal RNA is filed under the name uncultured bacterium. RNAcentral describes it as "bacterial SSU rRNA". It matches the Rfam family "Bacterial small subunit ribosomal RNA", at positions 28 to 417 of the family's 1533-position model. The record is from RNAcentral.